RNAcentral lists this ribosomal RNA (512 nucleotides) under uncultured Enterobacterales bacterium. RNAcentral's name for it is "bacterial SSU rRNA". It matches the Rfam family "Bacterial small subunit ribosomal RNA", at positions 29 to 528 of the family's 1533-position model. Lineage: Bacteria; Pseudomonadati; Pseudomonadota; Gammaproteobacteria; Enterobacterales. The record is from RNAcentral.
AUUGAACGCUGGCGGCAGGCCUAACACAUGCAAGUCGAACGGUAGCACAGAGGAGCUUGCUCCUUGGGUGACGAGUGGCGGACGGGUGAGUAAUGUCUGGGAAACUGCCCGAUGGAGGGGGAUAACUACUGGAAACGGUAGCUAAUACCGCAUAACGUCGCAAGACCAAAGAGGGGGACCUUCGGGCCUCUUGCCAUCGGAUGUGCCCAGAUGGGAUUAGCUAGUAGGUGGGGUAACGGCUCACCUAGGCGACGAUCCCUAGCUGGUCUGAGAGGAUGACCAGCCACACUGGAACUGAGACACGGUCCAGACUCCUACGGGAGGCAGCAGUGGGGAAUCUUCCGCAAUGGACGAAAGUCUGACGGAGCAACGCCGCGUGAGUGAAGAAGGCCUUCGGGUUGUAAAGCUCUGUUAUUCGGGAAGAACGAUUCGUUUGUAAAUAAUGAACGGAAGUGACGGUACCGAAAGAGAAAGCCACGGCUAACUACGUGCCAGCCGCCGCGGUAAAAGGG